UACGAAGGAUCCAAGCGUUGUCCGGGUUUACUGGGUUUAAAGGGUGCGUAGGCGGACUAUUAAGUCAGUGGUGAAAUCUUGCAGCUUGACUGUAAAAUUGCCAUUGAAACUGAUAGUCUCGAAUAUAGUUGAGGUGGUUGGAAUGUAUCAUGUAGCGGUGAAAUGCUUAGAUAUGAUACAGAACACCGAUUGCGAAGGCAGAUCACUAAACUAUUAUUGACGCUGAGGCACGAAAGCGUGGGGAUCAAACAGG
RNAcentral lists this ribosomal RNA (253 nucleotides) under uncultured bacterium. RNAcentral's name for it is "partial 16S ribosomal RNA". It matches the Rfam family "Bacterial small subunit ribosomal RNA", at positions 524 to 776 of the family's 1533-position model. The record is from RNAcentral.